Molecule: ribosomal RNA, 466 nt
Filed under: uncultured bacterium
Lineage: Bacteria
Description: partial 16S ribosomal RNA
Rfam family: Bacterial small subunit ribosomal RNA
Source: RNAcentral
GACGAACGCUGGCGGCGUGCUUAACACAUGCAAGUCGAACGGAAAGGCCCUGCUUUUGUGGGGUGCUCGAGUGGCGAACGGGUGAGUAACACGUGAGUAACCUGCCCUUGACUUUGGGAUAAAUUCAGGAAACUGGGGCUAAUACCGGAUAGGAGCUCCUGCUGCACGGUGGGGGUUGGAAAGUUUCGGCGGUUAGGGAUGGACUCGCGGCUUAGCAGCUUGUUGGUGGGGUAGUGGCUUACCAAGGCUUUGACGGGUAGCCGGCCUGAGCGGGUGACCGGCCACAUUUCGUAUGGGAGGCGGCCCAGGCUCCUACGGGAGGCAGCAGUGGAGAAUAUUGCACAAUGGGCGGGAGCCUGAUGCAGCACCGCGGCGUGCGAGAUGACGGCCUUCGGGUUGUAAACCGCUUUCGCCUGUGACGAAGCGUGUGUGGCUGUAAUGGGUAAAGGAGCCCCCGCUCUCUACG